RNAcentral lists this transfer RNA (56 nucleotides) under Flustra foliacea (greater hornwrack). RNAcentral describes it as "tRNA-Ser". Lineage: Eukaryota; Metazoa; Bryozoa; Gymnolaemata; Cheilostomatida; Flustridae. The record is from RNAcentral.
GGCGUCUACAUUAGCGGAUUUGAAAUCUGUUUUAGGGGGGAAUCCUCCAGAUGUCU